This 714-nucleotide small RNA is filed under the name Pongo abelii (Sumatran orangutan). RNAcentral describes it as "retained intron". Lineage: Eukaryota; Metazoa; Chordata; Mammalia; Primates; Hominidae. The record is from RNAcentral.
GGAUGCACUGUGGAGAAGGGCCCGCGUGUGUGGGACAGCACCAGGAUUCCUUCGUUAGGCAUUGUCUCAGGGCCUGUCCCUGUUAUGACGAAAACAGCCCCGGUUGGUCUUACUUAGAAAAGGGGCCUUAGGUAUAACCAGUGACAUUGCAGGUGUCCCAAUAUGGCCAUGAAGGAGGCAGAUGACGAUGAGGAAGUCGAUGAUAACAUCCCAGAGAUGCCGUCACCCAAAAAAAUGCACCAGGGGAAGAAAAAGAAACAGAACAAGAAUCGCAUCUCUUGGGUUGGAGAAGCCGUCAAGACUGAUGGGAAGAAGAGUUACUAUAAGAAGGUGUGCAUUGAUGCAGAAACCCUGGAAGUGGGGGACUGUGUUUCUGUUAUUCCAGAUGAUUCCUCAAAACCGCUGUAUCUAGCAAGGGUCACGGCGCUGUGGGAGGACAGCAGCAACGGGCAGAUGUUUCACGCCCACUGGUUCUGCGCUGGGACAGACACAGUCCUCGGGGCCACUUCGGACCCUCUGGAGCUGUUCUUGGUGGAUGAAUGUGAGGACAUGCAGCUUUCAUAUAUCCACAGCAAAGUGAAAGUCAUCUACAAAGCCCCCUCCGAAAACUGGGCCAUGGAGGGAGGCAUGGAUCCCGAGUCCCUGCUGGAGGGGGACGACGGGAAGACCUACUUCUACCAGCUGUGGUACGAUCAAGACUAUGCGAGAUUCGAG